UCUGGUUGAUCCUGCCUGAACUGAUGUGUUCAUUUCAAAGAUUAAGCCAUGCAUGUGUAAGUUUAACCUGCCAGACAGGGAAACUGCGUACGGCUCAUUACACCAGCUAUAAUUUACUUGACCUUGACUUCUUACUUGGAUAACUGUGGUAAUUCUAGAGCUAAUACAUGCACCAAAGCUCCAAUCUCCCCAGAGCGGAGCGCAUUUGUUCGCCACAAAACCAAGCGCCCUCCGGGCGUCCAGUGUUGACUCAGAACAACUAAGCUGAUCGCACGGUCUUGUACCGGCGACGUGUCUUUCAAGUGUCUGCCUUAUCAACUUUCGAUGGUAGUGUAUCUGACUACCAUGGUGAUGACGGGUAACGGAGGAUAAGGGUUCGACUCCGGAGAAGGGGCCUGAGAAAUGGCCACUACGUCUAAGGAUGGCAGCAGGCGCGCAAAUUACCCACUCUCAACGCGAGGAGGUAGUGACGAGAAAUAACGAGACCGAUCUCUUAUGAGGCCGGUCAUCGGAAUGGGUACAAUUUAAACCCUUUAACGAGUAUCUAUGAGAGGGCAAGUCUGGUGCCAGCAGCCGCGGUAAUUCCAGCUCUCAAAAUGCAUAGAAUUAUUGCUGCGGUUAAAAAGCUCGUAGUUGGAUCUGUGCUAGCCGUCCGGUGCACACUUUGUGUGUUACUGGUUUGGUUGGCUUUUCUGCCGGUCUUUCCCCGGCGUUGGCCUUUACCGGUCGGCGUCGGUGGGCUGGCGAGUUUACUUUGAACAAAUCAGAGUGCUUCAAACAGGCGUUUCGCUUGAAUGUUCGUGCAUGGAAUAAUAGAAGAGGAUUUCGGUCCGAUUUUAUUGGUUUUGCUGACCGAGAUAAUGGUUAACAGAGACAAACGGGGCCAUUCGUAUUGCUACGUGAGAGGUGAAAUUCUUGGACCGUAGCAAGACGGACUACAGCGAAAGCAUUUGGCAAGAAUGUCUUCAUUAAUCAAGAACGAAAGUCAGAGGUUCGAAGGCGAUCAGAUACCGCCCUAGUUCUGACCGUAAACGAUGCCAACUAGCGAUCCGCCGGCGGAUUUAUUCGCCCUGGUGGGGAGCUUCCCGGAAACGAAAGUCUUCCGGUUCCGGGGGAAGUAUGGUUGCAAAGCUGAAACUUAAAGGAAUUGACGGAAGGGCACCACCAGGAGUGGAGCCUGCGGCUUAAUUUGACUCAACACGGGGAAACUCACCCGGCCCGGACACCGUAAGGAUUGA
This 1238-nucleotide ribosomal RNA is filed under the name Heterodera glycines (soybean cyst nematode). RNAcentral's name for it is "SSU rRNA". It matches the Rfam family "Eukaryotic small subunit ribosomal RNA", at positions 1 to 1243 of the family's 1831-position model. The record is from RNAcentral. Lineage: Eukaryota; Metazoa; Nematoda; Chromadorea; Rhabditida; Heteroderidae. RNAcentral also lists the same sequence under 1 other name.